Molecule: ribosomal RNA, 253 nt
Filed under: uncultured bacterium
Lineage: Bacteria
Description: partial 16S ribosomal RNA
Rfam family: Bacterial small subunit ribosomal RNA
Source: RNAcentral
UACGGGGGGGGCAAGCGUUGUUCGGAAUUACUGGGCGUAAAGGGCUCGUAGGCGGCCAACUAAGUCAGACGUGAAAUCCCUCGGCUUAACCGGGGAACUGCGUCUGAUACUGGAUGGCUCGAGUUUGGGAGAGGGAUGCGGAAUUCCAGGUGUAGCGGUGAAAUGCGUAGAUAUCAGGAGGAACACCGGUGGCGAAGGCGGAUCUCUGGGCCAUUACUGACGCUGAGGAGCGAAAGCGUGGGGAGCGAACAGG